RNAcentral lists this ribosomal RNA (495 nucleotides) under uncultured bacterium. RNAcentral describes it as "partial 16S ribosomal RNA". It matches the Rfam family "Bacterial small subunit ribosomal RNA", at positions 28 to 507 of the family's 1533-position model. The record is from RNAcentral.
GACGAACGCUGGCGGCGUGCCUAAUACAUGCAAGUUGAACGCUGAAGGAGGAGCUUGCUUCUCUGGAUGAGUUGCGAACGGGUGAGUAACGCGUAGGUAACCUGCCUGGUAGCGGGGGAUAACUAUUGGAAACGAUAGCUAAUACCGCAUAAUAGUAGAUGUUGCAUGACAUUUGCUUAAAAGGUGCAAUUGCAUCACUACCAGAUGGACCUGCGUUGUAUUAGCUAGUUGGUGGGGUAACGGCUCACCAAGGCGACGAUACAUAGCCGACCUGAGAGGGUGAUCGGCCACACUGGGACUGAGACACGGCCCAGACUCCUACGGGAAGCAGCAGUAGGGGAUCUUCGGCAAUGGACGGAAGUCUGACCGAGCAACGCCGCGUGGGUGGAGAAGGGUUUCGGAUCGGAAAGCUCUGUUGUAAGGGAAGAACGAGUGUGAGAGUGGAAAGUUCACACUGUGACGGUAUCUUACCAGAAAGGGACGGCUAACUACGUG